Molecule: ribosomal RNA, 850 nt
Filed under: uncultured eukaryote
Lineage: Eukaryota
Description: SSU rRNA
Rfam family: Eukaryotic small subunit ribosomal RNA
Source: RNAcentral
UCCAGCUCCAAUAGCGUAUAUUAAAGUUGUUGCGGUUAAAAAGCUCGUAGUUGGAUCUCGGCAAGUAGAGGGCGGUAUGCUUCGUAGCAUUACUGCCCUAUUACUUGUAGUUUUGCCAGAGGUUCCUGGGUGCUCUUAAUCGAGUGUCUAGGGAUGCUGGCAGGUUUACUUUGAAAAAAUUAGAGUGCUCAAAGCAGGCUAUUACGCUUGAAUAUUCGUGCAUGGAAUAAUAGAAUAGGAAGUUGUUUCUAUUUUGUUGGUUUUCGGAAAUCGACUUAAUGAUUAAUAGGGACAGUCGGGGGCAUUUGUAUUCAAACGACAGAGGUGAAAUUCUUGGACCGUUUGAAGACAAACUACUGCGAAAGCAUUUGCCAAGAAUGUUUUCAUUAAUCAAGAACGAAAGUUAGAGGUUCGAAGGCGAUUAGAUACCGCCCUAGUUCUAACCAUAAACGAUGCCAGCUAGCGAUCUGAGGACGUUUUUUUUGUAGACUCCUCAGGAAGCUUCCGGGAAACCAAAGCGUGUGGGUUCCGGGGGAAGUAUGGUUGCAAAGCUGAAACUUAAAGGAAUUGACGGAAGGGCACCACCAGGAGUGGAGCCUGCGGCUUAAUUUGACUCAACACGGGAAAUCUCACCAGGCCCGGACACUGGAAGGAUUGACAGAUUGAGAGCUCUUUCUCGAUUCGGUGGGUGGUGGUGCAUGGCCGUUCUUAGUUGGUGGAGUGAUUUGUCUGGUUAAUUCCGAUAACGAACGAGACUCUGUCCUGCUAAAUAGUGUCAGCCUCUCUUCUGGGCUGACAAUUCUUCUUAGAGGGACUGGCGGCUCCUAGCCGCACGAGAUAGAGCAAUAAC